Molecule: ribosomal RNA, 1151 nt
Filed under: Bacillus altitudinis
Lineage: Bacteria; Bacillati; Bacillota; Bacilli; Caryophanales; Bacillaceae
Description: bacterial SSU rRNA
Rfam family: Bacterial small subunit ribosomal RNA
Source: RNAcentral
GGCCUGGCGGGGAGCUAAUACAUGCAAGUCGAGCGGACAGAAGGGAGCUUGCUCCCGGAUGUUAGCGGCGGACGGGUGAGUAACACGUGGGUAACCUGCCUGUAAGACUGGGAUAACUCCGGGAAACCGGAGCUAAUACCGGAUAGUUCCUUGAACCGCAUGGUUCAAGGAUGAAAGACGGUUUCGGCUGUCACUUACAGAUGGACCCGCGGCGCAUUAGCUAGUUGGUGAGGUAACGGCUCACCAAGGCGACGAUGCGUAGCCGACCUGAGAGGGUGAUCGGCCACACUGGGACUGAGACACGGCCCAGACUCCUACGGGAGGCAGCAGUAGGGAAUCUUCCGCAAUGGACGAAAGUCUGACGGAGCAACGCCGCGUGAGUGAUGAAGGUUUUCGGAUCGUAAAGCUCUGUUGUUAGGGAAGAACAAGUGCAAGAGUAACUGCUUGCACCUUGACGGUACCUAACCAGAAAGCCACGGCUAACUACGUGCCAGCAGCCGCGGUAAUACGUAGGUGGCAAGCGUUGUCCGGAAUUAUUGGGCGUAAAGGGCUCGCAGGCGGUUUCUUAAGUCUGAUGUGAAAGCCCCCGGCUCAACCGGGGAGGGUCAUUGGAAACUGGGAAACUUGAGUGCAGAAGAGGAGAGUGGAAUUCCACGUGUAGCGGUGAAAUGCGUAGAGAUGUGGAGGAACACCAGUGGCGAAGGCGACUCUCUGGUCUGUAACUGACGCUGAGGAGCGAAAGCGUGGGGAGCGAACAGGAUUAUAUACCCUGGGUAGUCCACGCCGUAAACGAUGAGUGCUAAGUGUUAGGGGGGUUUCCGCCCCCUUAGUGCUGCGGCCUAACGCAUUAAGCACUCCGCCUGGGGAGUACGGUCGCAAGACUGGAGAUUCAAAAGGAAUUGAUCGGGAGGCCCGCACCAAGCGGUGGAGCAUGUGGUUUAAUUCGUAGAAAACGCGGAGAAACCUUACCAGGGUCGUGGACAGUCCUCCGACAACACCUAGAGAAUAGGUCUUGCUCUUCCGGCUACAGAAAGACGAGAGGUGCUUGGCUGUCGUCGCCCUUGCCGUGAGAUAGUGUGUUUAAUACUCAACCAACGCUAACCCCAUCGACCCUUAGUUGUCAUCCCGUUUACAUUGUGCACUACUAUGCG